UACGGGAGCAGCAGUGGGGAAUAUUGCACAAUGGGCGCAAGCCUGAUGCAGCCAUGCCGCGUGUAUGAAGAAGGCCUUCGGGUUGUAAAGUACUUUCAGUCGUGAGGAAGGUGUUAAGGUUAAUAACCUUAGCAAUUGACGUUAGCGACAGAAGAAGCACCGGCUAACUCCGUGCCAGCAGCCGCGGUAAUACGGAGGGUGCGAGCGUUAAUCGGAAUUACUGGGCGUAAAGGGCACGCAGGCGGUUAAUUAAGUUGGAUGUGAAAUCCCCGGGCUUAACCUGGGAAUGGCAUUCAAGACUGGUUAGCUAGAGUCUUGUAGAGGGGGUAGAAUUCCAUGUGUAGCGGUGAAAUGCGUAGAGAUGUGGAGGAAUACCGGUGGCGAAGGCGGCCCCUGGACAAAGACUGACGCUCAUGUGCGAAAGCUGGGGA
This 431-nucleotide ribosomal RNA is filed under the name uncultured bacterium. RNAcentral describes it as "bacterial SSU rRNA". It matches the Rfam family "Bacterial small subunit ribosomal RNA", at positions 340 to 766 of the family's 1533-position model. The record is from RNAcentral.